CCUACGGGAGGCAGCAGUGGGGAAUCUUGCACAAUGGAGGAAACUCUGAUGCAGCGAUGCCGCGUGAGUGAAGAAGGCCUUUGGGUUGUAAAGCUCUUUUGUAGGGGAAGAUAAUGACUGUACCCUAAGAAUAAGGUCCGGCUAACUUCGUGCCAGCAGCCGCGGUAAUACGAAGGGACCUAGCGUAGUUCGGAAUUACUGGGCGUAAAGCGCGCGUAGGCCGUUGAGUUAGUUAAUUGUGAAAUCCCAAAGCUUAACUUUGGAACUGCAAUUAAAACUGCUCGACUAGAGUUUGAUAGAGGAAAGCGGAAUACAUAGUGUAGAGGUGAAAUUCGUAGAUAUUAUGUAGAACACCAGUUGCGAAGGCGGCUUUCUGGAUCAACACUGACGCUGAGGCGCGAAAGUAUGGGUAGCAAAGAGGAUUAGAUACCCUCGUAGUCCAUACCAUAAACGAUGAUUGCUAGAUGUUGGAAAUUUAUUUUCAGUAUCGCAGCUAACGCAUUAAGCAAUCCGCCUGGGGAGUACGACCGCAGGUUAAAACUCAAAGGAAUUGACGG
Molecule: ribosomal RNA, 557 nt
Filed under: uncultured bacterium
Lineage: Bacteria
Description: bacterial SSU rRNA
Rfam family: Bacterial small subunit ribosomal RNA
Source: RNAcentral